Callithrix jacchus (white-tufted-ear marmoset) is the source of this 2587-nucleotide long non-coding RNA. The record is from Ensembl. NCBI's taxonomy places the organism in Eukaryota, Metazoa, Chordata, Mammalia, Primates, Cebidae.
UGCCUACAGUGUGUGCUGCCCUUCUGCACAGUGGAAUUGUGGGGAAGUAACUACCAGCCAGAGACUACCUCAAGGCCUCUUUCAUCAAGGAGAGGCCCGUAUUAGUUUUCAACAGUGAGAUACAGAGGACCCAACAUACAACUCAGAGGGCCUAGAAGAUGGAGAAACCACAGACAAGAAGCAGAGGAGAUGAGCAUGUGAUUAUUGUUGGCGUGUGUCUGGAAGCAACCAGAAUGGAAUGGGGAAGACUCAAGGAGAAGAUCUUCACAGGAGCCACCUCUCAUCACAGCUCCCAUGUGGUUGUAAUCACCCCAGAGCAAAAUAAAAUUUCAGGGUUUUAUGGUUUCAUUACUGGUAAUAGCAGCUGUUUUGAAGACACAAAACACAGCAGCAAGUUCUAGAACAUACUCACAGUUUCCUUGGUCACAGUUGUGUCAGUGGUUCUAUGAAGGUCUUAGAAACCUCUGCUUAGUUGACUGCAAGUAGUAAGCAAGAAAACAGUCCUGUGAAGGGAGUGAAGGUCAGAAUCAAGAAGUCUGGAGGGUUUAAAUUGCAUUUUGAAAAAUGUAAUAAUAUAUACUAUUUUAAAUAUCAUAAACAACACACUUCUCUUACCAAAAAAAGAAAGAAAAAUUAGAAAAUAGGACAUAAAACUCAUCUACUAUACCACCAUCCAGAUACAACUACUGUUAACCUAGAAACACUUGAAGAAUGUUUCAUGAAUAUUUAUAUAUGCAUAUAUAUUUUCUAUUGGUGUUAGUUUACAAAACAAGGAUCCUAUCGUCCAUGCUGUUUUGUGACGCUUCUUUCAUUGAAGAAGAUAUUAAUAAAUAUCCGUUGCCAGUAAAUAAACCUCAGCUUUGUGGUAGACAGGUUCUUUUUUUUUUUUGAGACAGAGUUUAGCUCUCGCUACCCAGGCUGGAUCUCGGCUCACCGCAACCUCCGCCUCCUGGGUUCAGGCAAUUCUCCUGCCUCAGCCUCCUGAGUAGCUGGGAUUACAGGCAUGCGCCACCAUGCCCAGCUAAUUUUUUGUAUUUUUAGUAGAGAUGGGGUUUCACCAUGUUGACCAGGAUGGUCUCGAUCUCUUGACCUUGUGAUCUGCCUGCCUCGGCCUCCCAAAGUGCUGGGAUUACAGGCUUGAGCCACCGUGCCCAGCCGGUAGACAGGUUCUAAGAUGAUUUCCUUUGAUCCCGAUCCCCUGUGUUCUCACCAUUGUGUAACUGUGUGAUCCAUUCUACCUGAGUGUUUGCUGAACCUCUGACUUACAUCCAACCAAUAGAAUAUUGCAAAUGUUUUGGGAUAUAAUUUCUGAGAUUAGGUUACAAAAGGACUCUAUCUUCUUGCUCGCCCUGUCUUAUUCUCUGUCUUGCUUUCUUCAAUGGAGCCAACUGCCAUGUCACAGAGGGGCUGCCCUAUAGAAAUGUCCAUGUGACAAGGAGCUAAGGGAGACCAGCACAGGAUGAGCUCAAUCCUGCCAAGAAUCACUUGAGUGAACUUGAGAGUGAAUCCUCUCUAAGUUAAGCCUUGAGGUGACUGUAGCUCCAGCAAACACCUUCAUUUAACCUUGUGAGAGAGCUGAGUCAGAGGGAUUCAGUGAAGCCACGCCCGGAUUCCAGACCCUCAGAAACUGUGAGAUAAGAAAUUUAUCUUUCUAAUUAGCUAAGUUUUGGUAUAAAACAACCAUUGAUAACUGAUACAAAUCACAUAAGUUCUAAAAGCUGCUUCAUAUUUUAAUAUGCCUGUACCAUAACUUACUCAAUCUUUUGUUGUUGCACAGUUUGGUUAUUUGGUUUUGCUAUUAUAAACAGGGUUGCAAUGAAUAUUAUUGUACUUAAACAUUGGUACACAUUCUUCUUUCCUAAGGAUAAAGCCCUUGAAGUAGAACAGCUGGCUUUCAAGGGGUAUGCAUUUUUUUUAAAGCUUUUGAUACGCUAUUCCCCAAUCACUUUCUGGAAGGAUUGCAUUCUUUUACGCUCCUGCUGGCUGUAGUUUGGAGUGGGUUUUUGGUUAAUUUCAACUACUUUAUCUUGAACUGUCUCUAUGAUAACCAGUUAGAAACCAAAACCAAAGCCCCAAACAAGAAUCCAAGAAAGAAAACGAAGGUUGAAUCUUGAAAAGUAUGAGAUAAAUUUGAAGCUAUACAGUUUCUAAAGUACCAUUGUUUUGAAAUAAGUCUGAUAAAUUCAACCACCCUCAAAUCGUUAUUCUUAUGUUUCAGUGGACACAUAAGUCCUGAAAAUGUGAUGGUACUCAUAGUCCCCAUGAACUCAGAGAGGGGAAGCAGCAAUUUCCCUGGUUGAAGUAAACAUAACAAUAGGCUAGUGUGAAAAUCCUGGUUUGUUUUUUGUUUUUUUCAGUUGCACAAAAGAUUGUCAAUAAAUUCAACUUAUUAAAUUACCAAGAUGGAUAAACUGAACUCAACAGAUUUUUUUCUAAGCAUUUUGUGUACAUAGAUACCACCACCAUUUUUAAAUUGCAAUCCUUACUGUUGGGGAAGAGCAAAUAUUUUAAUGAAUGCUAUAUAUUUUAACAAACUCCGAACUCUGCGGUUGGUUUAAGCUAAGGGUGCAAUUUCAGGCAUCUAAAU